UGGAUGCCUUGGCAGUCAGAGGCGAUGAAGGACGUACUAACCUGCGAUAAGCUGUGAGAAGUCGGUAAGAGACGCUAUUACUCACAGAUUUCCGAAUGGGGAAACCCACCCAGCAUAAGCUGGGUAUCCGUUAGUGAAUACAUAGCUAACGGAGGCGAACCGGGAGAACUGAAACAUCUAAGUACCCCGAGGAAAAGAAAUCA
RNAcentral lists this ribosomal RNA (203 nucleotides) under Aeromonas caviae. RNAcentral describes it as "partial 23S ribosomal RNA". It matches the Rfam family "Bacterial large subunit ribosomal RNA", at positions 25 to 227 of the family's 2925-position model. The record is from RNAcentral. Lineage: Bacteria; Pseudomonadati; Pseudomonadota; Gammaproteobacteria; Aeromonadales; Aeromonadaceae.